CGCCCCUCCGCCUGGCAGAGAAGUGCUUGCUGGCAGUGGGAGACUCAAAGCAGCAGGAGUUCAAAGCAGAAUGCACUCAAGCUGCUGUUCCCUAAUUGAGGCACUGUGCACAGUUCAUCUUGUUUGGACUUAGAAACCUCAGUCUAGAAGAAACUAGCCCAAGGGAUACAGACGGGACGGAACAAUGGCCGGCAGCUCUCCCGGACUCCUGGCCACUCCCCAAAUGAGUCUAGAAGAUAAGCAACCAGGAAACCUAAGGAUGACAAUGUAUUUGAAUUCAU
RNAcentral lists this long non-coding RNA (281 nucleotides) under Homo sapiens (human). Its description in RNAcentral is "HSALNT0025280". Lineage: Eukaryota; Metazoa; Chordata; Mammalia; Primates; Hominidae. The record is from RNAcentral.